Molecule: ribosomal RNA, 429 nt
Filed under: uncultured bacterium
Lineage: Bacteria
Description: bacterial SSU rRNA
Rfam family: Bacterial small subunit ribosomal RNA
Source: RNAcentral
UGGGGAAUCUUGCGCAAUGGGCGAAAGCCUGACGCAGCGACGCCGCGUGAGGGAUGACGGCCUUCGGGUUGUAAACCUCUUUCAGCCCUGACGAAGCGAGAGUGACGGUAGGGGCAGAAGAAGCACCGGCCAACUACGUGCCAGCAGCCGCGGUAAUACGUAGGGUGCAAGCGUUGUCCGGAAUUAUUGGGCGUAAAGAGCUCGUAGGCGGUCUGUCGCGUCGGCUGUGAAAACUCGGGGCUCAACUCCGAGCUUGCAGUCGAUACGGGCAGGCUAGAGUGCGGCAGGGGAGACUGGAAUUCCUGGUGUAGCGGUGAAAUGCGCAGAUAUCAGGAGGAACACCGGUGGCGAAGGCGGGUCUCUGGGCCGAUACUGACGCUGAGGAGCGAAAGCGUGGGGAGCAAACAGGAUUAGAUACCCCCGUAGUCC